Molecule: microRNA precursor, 69 nt
Filed under: Chlorocebus sabaeus (green monkey)
Lineage: Eukaryota; Metazoa; Chordata; Mammalia; Primates; Cercopithecidae
Description: miRNA (ENSCSAG00000021712.1)
Source: RNAcentral
CUGGGUCUCCUUUCUGCUGAGAGCCAAACAGAUGAUGGGACGACCUGUCUGUGGAGAGGAGCUACCCAC